GGGCAGCAGGCAUUGUCUCAUAGGUAGACUGGUUUGGGUUUAAUUUCUGUCAGCUCUGUGCCUGCCCAGGUGAAACCAAGCUGGCUGUUGGAGAAGGCAGUUAGCACUCACUGCGAGAGGCAAGAAUGCCUUAAUAACAAAA
Phyllostomus discolor (pale spear-nosed bat) is the source of this 142-nucleotide long non-coding RNA. RefSeq lists it as uncharacterized. The transcript is spliced from 3 exons. NCBI's taxonomy places the organism in Eukaryota, Metazoa, Chordata, Mammalia, Chiroptera, Phyllostomidae. The record is from RefSeq and is a predicted model, not a curated record.